CCUGAGAAUAUUGCAGGGAGGACAAGAUCAAAACAGAAGCUGUAGAAUUCUAGCUGUUGCCUUGUUGAUGUGUUUAUGAUCAGAGUGCUGGAAGUACUAAUUAUACUGGGUUUUGGUUGAGUACUUAUGCCAGUUGACUUGUCUUGUGGUGUCUCCUAAUGUGUGAUUGGAUCAUCUCGAAGCAGGUGUGGAAAUUUGUAAAUGAUUUGCAUAUAUUUUUAUGGGGUUUCAUGGGGUAAUUUGUUAAUGUUUAGUAUGUCCUUAAGUAGGAGGUUUGGAAACUCAUGUACAGGCAAUUGUGCAUCCUUGUCUGGCUUAGGGGUCGUGUGGUUGUUACUUUAUUAAAAGUUGGUAUUUUGCAUGGUCACAUGGAAAUAUCCCUACCUUGGCGUUGAGAAACGUUGAAAGUAGGCAACAUUUUUAUUGCUCUUUGGCAAUCAAAUGAGGAUGUGUUUCUUCUUGUCAUAUUGUAUGUUUAACAAUGGAGUGAGGCUUUUUGUGCUUUUUGACGUUGGCAUUGGUGUGGACAUUCCCAUUCAUAGGGU
RNAcentral lists this unclassified non-coding RNA (545 nucleotides) under Hevea brasiliensis (rubber tree). The record is from RNAcentral. Lineage: Eukaryota; Viridiplantae; Streptophyta; Magnoliopsida; Malpighiales; Euphorbiaceae.